CCAACUGGAUGAAGCAGUAAAUGAAAUACGUAGAGCUUAUAAACUUGCUCCUGAAUAUAUGAGUUUGCUUGGCUCCAUUAGCAUCAACAGAGCUACUGUUGAAAUAAUGUAAUUCUGUUUGUUUCUGAAAACAAAACAUAGUUGUCCUUACUUUUGCCUGUGGUCAGUGUAGUUAAUAGUCCAGAAAAGGAUGCUGGCCUUUGAUUUUUAAACAUUUAAAAGGUUACUAACAUUUUGUGUCUAAUGUGUAGUUAGCCUAAGAAAUUUAUCAGAAUAAGCUCCUAUUCUGACAGAUGUGGAAGCAGAAAGGUCAAGCUCAAAAGGAAUAAUACAUGCAGUAACAUUUGCUAGGACAAAAUUUAUAAUAAUGUAGGUUCAUCAGGAGGCUUUAAGGAAUAUAUUUCUUUCCUUUGGCAGAAAUAUGGGUGUUUCUUACAGUGUUACACAAUCCGAUUCUUACUACUUUCCUUCAAAACCUGUCAUAGCUGAUUCAAAAUAGUUAAGGAGAUGGACAAAUUAGUCUGCUCUUGUUAGACAUUUCUUACAUUCUUCUGUUCUUAGAAUAAGCAGGGUGAAAGAAGUGCUGAUGAGCUGCCUGGGGCCUGUUUUAAAAUGCGGUGAAACUGUUUUAAGUUCUGCAAAUGACUUCAGUGGAUUCAUGUCAAAGCUGUGACCAUAUAUUGAACAUUAAACCUUACUUUAAUGUACUUGGAGUAGUACCUUCUGUGGAGUUGGCUAAACGCACCAACAGUGUAACAGCUGUUCUUCCCAUCAAAAAGUGGGUGUAACACUGGACAUACAAACCGCAUCCUAAUUCUACUUUAGAAUCUAUGGAUUCCACUGUUGAGACCUCCACUAUGCUAUGACUGACUUGGGACGGCCAGCUCAAGAGGUACAUGACUGUAUGUAGCCAGACUGAUCCCACUCAAGAAGUCCUAACCUUGCUUCCUACCUGCUGCAGGUAAAGCUUUACUCAAAUCUACUGCCCACUUGGGAUUAAUUGAGAAAUCACAUUUCCAUUAUACCUUGGUCUCUUCUUCAGGCAUUUGACACAAUGCAGUUUCAAAAUAUUCAACCCAGCAGUUUCCAGAAAAUGAAAGCUGAAUACAAUUCUUGUUAAAGCUUCUAAAACAAAAUAUCUUGUUGAGUUCAAGACCAGAAGACUGGUCCUGUUUGGAUAGAAGGGUACAGACUGGUAGGAAGUUCUACCUCCAAACACAGGAUUAUAUCCUGAACACAGAAAAGACUAUGAACUUGCGUUUGGACUUGUGGGAACACAUGAGUUUGCUGUGCAUCCGAACUAACUCCUUAAGCAGAUAAAAUGCCCAAUUGUUGGAUAGGAAAAUGGAGAGGAAGUCGGUGGUUUUUAAAACUUAAAGGAUCGUUCUGAAGCAAAAAUCUAGGAAUGGUCAAAUUGUCUGAACCUGAACACUAAUACAAAUCACAUAAAGAUAAGACAUACAGAGCAUAUAAAAGAAGUCACUCGAGAUCAGAAAAUCCAAAGUUUAUUUUCUUAUUCUGUGGCCUAUAAGAUUCUCAUUUUUGGAUCAGGAGAACCAGUUCUGACAGCCUGUCAGUCCAAAUAGUCUAGGUAAAGAAAUAUGACUUCUUUUCAUUUUGACAGAAUAAAAACUCAUUUUCUAUUGUUCUCA
Molecule: long non-coding RNA, 1652 nt
Organism: Coturnix japonica (Japanese quail)
Lineage: Eukaryota; Metazoa; Chordata; Aves; Galliformes; Phasianidae
Source: Ensembl